UACAAAAGAUGCCACCAUACGUUUUCAACAGAGGAACCAAAUUCAGCUUCGUCCACCACCGCCUCUACUGCAAUCUCUUUUCAAGCCCCAAGAAUUAAUAUCUCCACCACACCAAGAACUCACCUCCUUUCUCCGACCUCCUCAACACCCAUCCCCGAUUGUCACUUGAGAUGCAGACCUGAAUCAUUUUCUGAGACAUCGAAUUCCUCUGCCAGUGGAACAUGCUUCAGCGUCCUAUGGCAUUCACGAAUCGAUUGUCCUUAGAACAUGCCCCCUCUCUGAUAAACACAUUAUUCAUUUGUGUAUUUUGAUUUCUUCCUGCUUUCAUCCAUGAUCCAUGUCUUCUUUUUUUAUUUUGAUUUUGAUUUUGGUUGCAGGUCUUCUCAAUGAUGGGAUGAUCACAAAGGGUUUGGUUGUUUCUCUACUUCUAAUUAGGCAGUCAAUGACCAUUUGAUGUCCAAAAUGGUAGUUUUUACAUUUUGACUCAACAUAGGAGAUCCUUUUAAUGAUUUUGUUGCAGGUUACAGGAAAUAAAGAUCAUGAUGUUGAAGGUUGCAAUUAGUUGCCACGUGCAUGUUUUUCUCCUCAUCUUUCUUAUUAUGGUUUGAAAAGGGUUUGGUUUUCUGCUUGGUGUGUCAUUGUACAAAUACACUGCUGAAAGUGGCCUAGUGCUUCCAAAUAAAUGUGGCACAGGGUUGGAGAAAAAUCUAACUAAGGCUGAGUUGUUGCAGAUGAGAAGAGAGAAAGAGAGUAUAUGAGGUUCACAGGAAAAUGGACCAAUCGGAACUUGAACACGACUUGGGUGGCUUGGAUGUGAUGUGGAAAUUGGUCAAAGAGGAGGAAACGAUACAAGGUUUUUGAUUCGGUAGUGAGUCUGCAUUUUUUCAUAGAAAGAUCCCUUUUUUUAAGCCAAACAACGUAAAUCAAUCUCAAUGAGUGAGAUGAAAUGUGUAUUGUGUCGUGAUUCUCUCCUCUCAUUUCAAAUCAUUAUCCUUCAUGAUUUUGUAUUUGUAGAAACACAGGAAGCUGUUAAUAUGCUAAUGUUAUCGAAACCAAUAUGUAUGGUGUAGGAUCUGGAGGAGCAGAUGCCUUGCUCUGUCCUUCGUUCACUUGGACCACUUCUCUUUCAGUUAUCCUAGCAACUGGCAAGUCAAACCCAAAUUCAUGAAAUUCAUGCUAUUUUUUUGUUUAAAAUUGAAGCCCAACUCAAACUAUGGAUUCCAUUUCUUUUUUGACAAAACUGCUGCAUGGAUUGAUGAGGUAAAGACAGAGGGAGAGAUAGAGAAAGAAAGAAGUUUUCCCUUCUAAGUGUAUUUUUUUGUCAACAUUUUGAAUUAUUAAUGAAAUUUUUGAAAUUGAGUGGUGAGUUGUCUGCACUUCUCUUGAGUACUUUUUUUUCUACAUUCCUGCACUGUUUAUGAAACCACAUUAUUUUUUAAGUUAGGAUUUGCAUAUUAUAUUCGAUGAUAAGAGAACAAUACAUUAUCUACUCGAGGUUGGAUAUGUUAGGAAAAUUUAUCUACUUUUAGCCCAAAGGUGGAAAAGCUAUGAUCAUAUUGGGAAUUUGAUUGAAUGAUGUGGGUGAAAUUGAAGUUCUGUGAAAAGGAUUUUCAUGGAUUUUGUUGUAAUUUUUUCAUCUGUGUUGUUCUGUGAUGGAUGCCUUGGCUGAUGGUAGUUUUUCUAGGAUCCUUGGAUUCAGUGACCUUAGGAACUUUUCUAUUAAGAUGUUUGUAUUUUUUACAAAUACACGAUGAGACUAUUGUUCAUGAUGGAAAAGAAAUGGAUAUUGUGGAAGAGGAAUUCAAGCAAGGCUGUGGUUUACUGAUAUGACUUAUGGUAUGUCUGUUGUUUGAUUAUCUACGAUGGGAAAUUUUUGCUCUCUUUGUUUGAUGUGGUCACUGCCAGUUUUUUUGUAUAAUAUUUCCAUUCCAGUUUUAUAGGAUUUCUAUUUCUUUUUUAUUUAUACAUUUCCUUUUUAAAAAUUCUGCUCUCUUUCUUUUUUAUUCACUGCCUGAUUAUGUUCUUUUCAUAUCAAGAAGGACAAAUUCAUGCUUCUGUGUUAGAAAGUCUUGGUAAAAAAGUUUGAAAGGAUUCUUAGAGAAGGAUCAGUUUAUUCCCUGCAAAUAUUACAAGUAAGAUAUAGUUAAAUUUUAGUUUUGUUCAACUUUUUAACCGUGUCAUUGUUUGCUACAUCAGAUCUUGAUAAAUUUAUGUUGUUUCCCAUCUCUUCCGUGGAGUACUUGAUCCAGCGCACCUCUUUAAGUUUUUUCAGUUAUCAAUUUAUUUUGUCUUUUUUAGUUGUUCAAUUACUCAUCUUCAUCUAAUUUUUGUGCUUAUUCUAACUGUUUAAGCAGCAAUGUCGAGAGCAAACAUUUUGCUAGACCAUUACCUCAGAUUGUUAAGCAUCCCCAACUUUUGUGCCUCUCAAUGAAAUCUAUUGAGGCAUGCUUGAUUUUCCCAUCUGAUUGGUACACUUUGUGGUUGUUGUUUGUUAGUAUUUAUUAGCGUUAUGAAUCUCUUACCUACACAUUAAUUUGUAGAUUAAUGGGCAUGCACUAUGUAGCACUGAGAAGCAUGAAAGACAGGUAAAGAUAAAUAAGAUGAAUGCCAUUGAGUUUGAAAUCUUGGGGUAGUGGCACAUUUUUUACAACAUGUGUUAUGUGUUAAUGAACUAUGUCUUGACAGUGUAUUUUUCCCCACAUUUGUGAGGAUCAAUUUUGCUUUGUAGGGAAUAAACCGAGGAAGGUCCCUCACAUCUAUCAUGUUUUCAUAAGAAGAUAGGAAGAACUUGCCCUAUUGGCUAUGGAUAAAGUUGAACCACUUUCAAAUACAAGUCGGGAUGACGUAGGAAGAUCCAUCGUCAAAAAUUGUAACACAACCCAUUGAGAAUAUGAGCAGAUUCCUUGGCCUUGAAGGAGCUUCUGGCUUGCGGUUAUUGGACGUAAAAGACAUGACUGGUUUUAAUGUAAUUUUAGCUAAUAUUGUAGUCUUAACUGCUUUUUAUUAAAGUCCUUGAAUUAUUUUUUA
Lotus japonicus is the source of this 3027-nucleotide long non-coding RNA. RefSeq lists it as uncharacterized. The transcript has 6 exons. The record is from RefSeq and is a predicted model, not a curated record. NCBI's taxonomy places the organism in Eukaryota, Viridiplantae, Streptophyta, Magnoliopsida, Fabales, Fabaceae.